UACGUAGGUGGCAAGCGUUGUCCGGAUUUACUGGGCGUAAAGGGCGUGCAGGCGGUUUGUUUAGUCUAGGGUGAAAGCUCCCGGCUUAACUGGGAGAGGUCCUUGGAUACUGGCAAACUUGAGGGAGGCAGAGGAAAGUGGAAUCCCCGGUGUAGUGGUGAUAUGCGUAGAUAUCGGGAGGAACACCAGUGGCGAAGGCGGCUUUCUGGGCCUUACCUGACGCUGAGGAGCGAAAGCGUGGGGAGCGAACAGG
This 253-nucleotide ribosomal RNA is filed under the name uncultured bacterium. Its description in RNAcentral is "partial 16S ribosomal RNA". It matches the Rfam family "Bacterial small subunit ribosomal RNA", at positions 524 to 776 of the family's 1533-position model. The record is from RNAcentral.